RNAcentral lists this long non-coding RNA (2208 nucleotides) under Cricetulus griseus (Chinese hamster). Its description in RNAcentral is "lncRNA (ENSCGRG00015039373.1)". The record is from RNAcentral. Lineage: Eukaryota; Metazoa; Chordata; Mammalia; Rodentia; Cricetidae.
UGGAGGUGACUCACCCACGGAGGCAGGAAGCCCUUCCAGGCUUGUUGGAGUCUAGCUUUCAGGGACAGAUCAGCCUCAAGGCGCAGAGAUUCCAGCCUGUUUCUGCCCGGUGGGAGGGAGACGUUUGUGAGCUACAUCUCCCAGCUCCCUCUGCUCCCAGCUUUCCUCUCAGAAUUAGAUAACAGCAAAAAUAGAUAAGAGAAGUGAUUCAUUAAUUCAGCGAGUCCCGUGGCUGGCUUUCUCUUGUUGGCUGCCCAAGGUCACUCCGAAGGACUCCACACAGAUGCAACACCCCCAGGGUAUCACCAUGCACAGUGAGCAUGCUCCUCCCUCAACCUGCUGCUGUACCUCAGGCCUGCCCUUAGAAAAGUGGUCCUACAGGUGGCCAGAGUCCCUUCUCCUAACACCCAGUAUGGCAGUGAAAAGCAGACAUGUUUGGAGCACUGUUGGUUAGCACCAGGGGCAGCAGAUCCUCCUGAGUGCAGAUGACAAUGCUGAAUGAGGUAACCCGACUCAGAGAGGUGGCCAAGUCACAGAGCAAGGGAAGGAUGGAACCCACAUUGGAUUCCAGGUUUCUCUGCUGUCUUCAAGUAGUGGAAUCUUCUCCAUCCUUCUCUGGGGCUUCAGGACAAGCAUGCUAUGUUUGGAGAAUUUGAAGAUCACUACAGACUUUUCUUUGGACUCUCUAAUCAAAGAUAAGAAUGAAAAAAAAAUCUGUCAAGACUAGAAAGAUGGCUCAUUUUUUAAGAGCAUUGACCUGGGUUCAAUUCCCAGAACCCAAAUGAUGGCUCACAACCAUCUGUAACUUCAGUUCCAGGGGAUUCAGUGCCCUCUUCUGGGCUCUGAGGACACAAGGCAUGAAAGUGUAUGUAGACACAAAAUGCAGAUAAAGCACUCAUACACAUAGAAUAAAAAUAAACAAAUCUUUUAAAAGGUCAUUCUGUCCACUGGCAUUGCAAAGUUGGUAGAAUGCACAUCUUCAGGAUGAUCAAUGACAUAUUUCGAAUCCUUAAAAAUCAACUAUGUGGCUAGUAUGUCAUAUAUACAUAUAUGUAUAUAUACACACAUACAUAAUAUACAUAUAUAUGUACACACACACACACACAUAUAUAUAUAUAUAUAUAUAUAUAUAUAUAUAUAUAUAUAUGUCAGUAUUGCAGUGCUAGGGAUCAAACCCAUGACUGUGUGCAUAUAAGUCAAGUGCUCCACCAAUGGAGCUACAUCCUCAACCCCUAUUAGAUUAAUCAGUUUUGACACUUAGAACAGAAAGAGUACUGACUGACAUGGGCUACACACAAAGUAACCCAUGGCUGAUGGCUGUAUACAUGAGGAUACUGGUACUGCUAUCUUGAACCUUCUUUCUGCUUGGAUCAGUUGUUCAGUGAUCAAGCAUUCCUUUGAAGCUCUAUAUGUUAAAAGGAAAAAGGUGCAACAUUUCCAAUCCCUAACCAUAAUGUCCAUUUUGCUAAAAAGAGAUGUAAACUAUGAGCAGACUCUAACUGCAGCUGACAUAUCCUUCCUUUUGCAGCUCUGCCCAUAGGACAAUCUGCUGGCUAUUGUUUCACCAUUGGUGGGCAUAUACAUAUACAUAUGUAUACAUGUAAUGAAACUUUUAAUUUUUUAAAUAUUUAAUUCAUAGGAAGUUUCAAAGAUAGUAAAGGUGGAUCCCCAUGAACAAGCAAGCUCCUGCAACUAUUAUAUCUAAAAAAUUUUAUUUUAUAUUUAUUUAUUUGUGUGUGUGUGUGUGUGUGUGUGUGUGUGUGUGUGUGUGUGUGUGUGUCUGUGUGUGUGUGUCUGUGUUCAGUUGCCUGAGGAGGCCAAAAGAGGACUGUGGAUUUCCUGGAGUUGGAGUUACAAUUGGUUGUGAGCCCCUCAAAGUGGGUGCCAAACUUGGGUCCUCUGCAAAAGCAGCAAGCACUUAGCUGUUGAUACAUCUCUCCAGCCUCAGUGAGUACCUCUUAUGUAGUUUUUGCGCUCUCUUAAAACAGGGAUAUUACAUUAGUACAGGUGUGCCAAAUCCUCUAUCAUUUUAUCACAAAUAGACAUGUGCAGUGUCUUACAAAUAGACACACAUGACCACUAUGGCUGCUGGAACACAGAACACCACCACACCAGGAAGCUCACACCACACGCACCCCAUUGCACCCAGCUCCCUAACUCCUAGCAACCACUAGUUUUCUCCUCCUCUAUAAUUUGGUUAUUGCGAGA